This 724-nucleotide ribosomal RNA is filed under the name Russula aff. costaricensis. Its description in RNAcentral is "eukaryotic LSU rRNA". The stretch from base 262 to 415 matches the Rfam family "5.8S ribosomal RNA". Lineage: Eukaryota; Fungi; Basidiomycota; Agaricomycetes; Russulales; Russulaceae. The record is from RNAcentral.
CCUGGGUCAAUUAGAGGUAGUAAAAGUCGUAACAAGGUUUCCGUAGGUGAACCUGCGGAAGGAUCAUUAUUGUACCAACCGAGACGCAAGGGCUGUCGCUGACCGCAAGGUUGUGCACGCCUGAGUGCUCUCACCCUUAUCCACUUCACACUUGUGCAUCACCGCGUGGUGCCUCCUUUUCAAAAGGGGCUCACGUUUUCCACACAAUCACCCCCUUUAAGAGAGUUUAGAAUGUCUUUGCGGAUCACACGCAAUCAAUACAACUUUCAACAAUGGAUCUCUUGGCUCUCGCAUCGAUGAAGAACGCAGCGAAAUGCGAUAUGUAAUGUGAAUUGCAGAAUUCAGUGAAUCAUCGAAUCUUUGAACGCACCUUGCGCCCCUUGGCAUUCCGAGGGGCACACCCGUUUGAGUGUCGUGACAUCCUCAAACCUUCUCGGUUUCUUAACCGGAGAAGGGUUUGGACUUUGGAGGCAUUAUGCUGGCUUUCCUUUGAAGCCAGCUCCUCUUAAAUGGAUUAGUGGGGUCCCCUUUGCAGCUCCCUUGGUGUGAUAAGAUGCUUCUACGUCUUGGGACAGGCUCUUGUGACCUGCUUCUAACCGUCUCAUCAGAGACAUUGAUCGGGUUUGCCACCUUUUGUGGGUUGGUAAGCUUGGUCCAGAAACCUUGACCUCAAAUCGGGUGAGACUACCCGCUGAACUUAAGCAUAUCAAUAAGCGGGAGGAAA